GAUCCUGGCUCAGGAUGAACGCUAGCUACAGGCUUAACACAUGCAAGUCGAGGGGCAGCAUGGUCUUAGCUUGCUAAGACUGAUGGCGACCGGCGCACGGGUGAGUAACGCGUAUCCAACCUGCCUACCACUUGGGGAUAACCUUGCGAAAGUAAGACUAAUACCCAAUGACAUCCCACGAAGACAUCUGAAUGGGAUUAAAGAUUUAUCGGUGAUGGAUGGGGAUGCGU
This 230-nucleotide ribosomal RNA is filed under the name uncultured bacterium. Its description in RNAcentral is "partial 16S ribosomal RNA". It matches the Rfam family "Bacterial small subunit ribosomal RNA", at positions 15 to 236 of the family's 1533-position model. The record is from RNAcentral.